UUUUUCCUUGCCUAGCAAGUGAAAGUGUUCUACAAGACCUACAGCAAGUUCACCUUUGAUGUAAUACUUUACUGAAAGCAUCAACUGCAUGGAGAGAUCGCAGGAGGAGAUAAAUGGUUCACCAAAAUUAAGAGGCAGAACUCAAGGAGUAUCUGCCAAGUACGAUGAAGAGAAUGCUGGCUGUGGGCAACCUGAAACUCCAAAUGGAAGCUAGGCCAUCUCUAUUCUGGACAACAAAGGCAAGGCAGGGG
Heterocephalus glaber (naked mole-rat) is the source of this 251-nucleotide long non-coding RNA. RefSeq lists it as uncharacterized. The record is from RefSeq and is a predicted model, not a curated record. NCBI's taxonomy places the organism in Eukaryota, Metazoa, Chordata, Mammalia, Rodentia, Bathyergidae.